AGAGUUUGAUCAUGGCUCAGAACGAACGCUGGCGGCGUGCUUAACACAUGCAAGUCGAGCGAGAAAGGGGGGGCAACCCCCUGAGUAGAGCGGCGCACGGGUGAGUAACGCGUGGGUAACCUACCCCCAGGCGGGGGAUAACCACUCGAAAGGGUGGCUAAUACCGCAUGAGACCACGGGAUCUUCGGAUCCUGAGGCUAAAGAUUGCACCGGCUUGCCGGUGCUGUCACCAGGGGAUGGGCCCGCGUCCGAUUAGCUAGUUGGCGAGGUAAUGGCUCACCAAGGCUACGAUCGGUAGCUGGUCUGAGAGGAUGAUCAGCCACACUGGAACUGAAACACGGUCCAGACUCCUACGGGAGGCAGCAGUGAGGAAUAUUGCGCAAUGGGGGAAACCCUGACGCAGCAACGCCGCGUGGGUGAAGAAGGCCUUCGGGUCGUAAAGCCCUUUCGGACGGGACGAACGCUCCGCGGUGACAACCCGCGGAGUCUGACGGUACCGUAGGAAGAAGCACCGGCUAACUCCGUGCCAGCAGCCGCGGUAAUACGGAGGGUGCGAGCGUUGUUCGGAAUUACUGGGCGUAAAGCGCGUGUAGGCGGCCUUGCAAGUCAGGCGUGAAAGCCCUCGGCUUAACCGGGGAAGUGCGUCUGAAACUGCUUGGCUUGAGUACGGGAGAGGGAGGCGGAAUUCCCAGUGUAGAGGUGAAAUUCGUAGAUAUUGGGAGGAACACCGGUGGCGAAAGCGGCCUCCUGGACCGAUACUGACGCUGAGACGCGAAAGCGUGGGGAGCAAACAGGAUUAGAUACCCUAGUAGUCC
This 815-nucleotide ribosomal RNA is filed under the name uncultured bacterium. Its description in RNAcentral is "bacterial SSU rRNA". It matches the Rfam family "Bacterial small subunit ribosomal RNA", at positions 8 to 796 of the family's 1533-position model. The record is from RNAcentral.